AGUGAACGCUGGCGGUAGGCCUAACACAUGCAAGUCGAACGGCAGCACAGUAAGAGCUUGCUCUUACGGGUGGCGAGUGGCGGACGGGUGAGGAAUACAUCGGAAUCUACUUUUUCUUGGGGGAUAACGUAGGGAAACUUACGCUAAUACCGCAUAUGACCUACGGGUUAAAUCAGUGGAUCUUCGGACCUUGCGCGACUGAAUGAGCCGACGUCGGAUUAGCUAGUUGGCGGGGUAAAGGCCCACCAAGGCAACGAUCCGUAGCUGGUCUGAGAGGAUGAUCAGCCACACUGGAACUGAGACACGGUCCAGACUCCUACGGGAGGCAGCAGUGGGGAAUAUUGGACAAUGGGCGAAAGCCUGAUCCAGCCAUACCGCGUGAGUGAAGAAGGCCUUCGGGUUGUAAAGCCCUUUUGUUGGGAAAGAAAAGCAGCAGGUUAAUCCCCCGCUGUUCUGACGGUACCCAAAGAAUAAGCACCGGCUAACUUCGUG
Molecule: ribosomal RNA, 492 nt
Filed under: uncultured bacterium
Lineage: Bacteria
Description: partial 16S ribosomal RNA
Rfam family: Bacterial small subunit ribosomal RNA
Source: RNAcentral